This is a long non-coding RNA of Glycine soja, 4653 nucleotides long. RefSeq lists it as uncharacterized. The transcript is spliced from 5 exons. NCBI's taxonomy places the organism in Eukaryota, Viridiplantae, Streptophyta, Magnoliopsida, Fabales, Fabaceae. The record is from RefSeq and is a predicted model, not a curated record.
UAAAACAAAGUUAGAAGUUGCAUAUGGGAACUCAAAUUAUAUUUGAGUUCCAAGAAACAAAUUUUGUGUUUGUGCAAAAGUCCUCUAUCUAUUUCUAAUUUUUGUGGUCUUCCUAUGAUGAUUAUAAACUAUUCUAUACUCUAUCUCUUCUAAGUUUAGAUGAGUGAAUCUUGCAGCUUUCAUAAAUAAGUACAUGGUACUCGACACUUCCUGAAAUGUAAAAAUAAUUCAUAUUAGAUAAUUAUAUGAUAUCAAAAUUUGACAUACAGAGAGAAGUGCUUAAUUACACUCCAAACUGGUACAAGUCACUUUGUACUCAGUGAGUAGGACUUUAAAAGUGACUGAGUUAGGAACAAGGAGUGUCAUUUAGGGAAAGCUUUUGGUUAAGAACUGCUUUUGAAGAUGGUGAGGAGGAAAACACUCUGUUCAUAGUGGGUCAAGGUGACCUAAUGAUUUCUAGUGAGCCCAUAGAACUCUCUAAGUUUCGUCCAUCCAACAAGUAAAGUUGGGCUCACCAAAUCUUGGUUGUAUGUGACAGAGUGCAUGUUGUCACUAGAGUAUAGCAAAUGCCACGUAGGCUCUAGUUUAUCUUUCCAUCUUAUAGAAAAUGACUUACUCACUUCACCAUAAGGCUACAUUUAACAAACAAAUUAAUAUAAGCAAAAGUACUAUUAUAUAUCAAGUCAUGUUUAAUUAUUUUACAAUAGUCUUGAAAUAAUUUCUAACCUGAUCAAUAACAUGAACAGUGUUGAACAUUUCAUCUGAUUCUUUGUUAAUCUUCAUCAUUAUGUUAGCCAUUUCCUUUCAGUUUUGUUGAUGUUCAUCCAUGAUUUCGAAACUCCAUUUACAAUAUAAACAUAACAUUAAUAUGCAUGAUACAUUUGACAUACCAAUAUAAUACCAAUAUGAUAUCCCAAUUUUGGGUGCCUAAGACUGUGGCAGAAUUCUCAGACUAGCACAAAGUCUCAUUAACGCAUUUACACACAAAACCGUGCAAACCAGAAACAAAACUGUGCAACCAAAGCCUAUUUUCUAGCAGUGUGUACAUGGAGCUACUACCAUAUACAUGACCUAGAAGGCCACAACUAUAUACAAUAGGAUGCACUACCAUAGCUUAAAAACACAUGUAUAAUUUAACUUCCAUGGUAAUAACCGCAAACCAAGCAAAAAUAAAAAACAAACAACAACACUACCAUCGCUUACGAACACAAGCUUCAUUAGAGAAUCACAAUAACAACAACACUAACAUUUACACCAUUAUCAAUUUCAGAGAGCAUAUUUUCAGACAUAAAGCAAAUGCGUUGUGAUGCCAUCACCACCUCACCCGCGAUUUGUCUUCUCGAAACCAAAUAGAGCUUAUUCGUCGCGAGGUAUGGAGAAGACAAAACACGACUAAGGUGGUGACGGCUAAACGUUGGAAUGUGAGGGAGAGGAGGCACGAGGAAGAGGAUGUGCUAAUGAACUUACCUACUAAAGGAGAAAACAUGGCAAAAAAGCGAAGAGGUGUGAAUAGGAGAACAGGCAAGGAGGCGAACAGACAAGAAUGCGAGGAAGAGUGUGCUCGAGAGAAAAUAUGGCUCAUAGGCACUACUAAAAAUUGAGCUUUUUACGUCGCUGAUUCUAAGACGGUUGUCAAGGACUGUCUUAGAAAGUGCAAUGGUGGUGUUUUCGUAAUUAACUCAAAUGUAAUGACAACUUUUCCGCAUGAUCAUCGUUGAUAAGGAAUUUGGUGGGGAACGUGUCAAUUUUUUAUUUUGAUACAAAGACGGUCUUAUCCUCACGACCGUCUUUGUAUGCUUGGUGCCACUCUCUCACCAUUUAAACUCUAACCAUGCCCUACAUUCUCUCACUGCAACUCACCAUCUUCUUCACCCACUCUCUCUCUCUCCCACUCUCCCUUGACUGACCAACUCGGUGAAUCAACUCGAUGGCCUCAUCCUUACGUGCAAGGAGUAGCUCGCCAUUCUCGCACCGCAAACCCUUAACUCCUCACUCCUCAGCUUCCUCUUCCACUUCUUCCUUCACGAAUGGACGCAUAAUGCCUCGCUCCUGUUCCCCUUUGACGUCGUCGUUUUACAACUUUGGUGGCGGUGGAUGAUCCAUGACUCCGAGUCACGGUCAUAGCGAGUCUGUCUACUACGGCUACGGUAAUCCUUCACCAGUGGAGUUCGGGAUGGACGAGGAGGUGAUCACGGAGCCCAUUGAUUCAUCCAGAGCUCGGGAUAGCAUUUCGGUCACGAUUCGGUUUAGACCGUUGAGGUAAUGCUUAGAUCUGUGGCUAUGGAAUCAAAUCCAUUAGCUGUGGAUUUUAGAGAAACUGAAUCGUUCGGGUUGUUUCUAUUGUUGUUGCGUUGACUUAUCUGAGAUCAAAUGAGAGGUUACGGUGUUGUUUGGUUGCAGUGAAAUAGAGUACCACAGAGGAGACAAGAUCGCUUGGUAUGCGGACGGUGAUAAGAUUGUGUGCAAAGAGUAUAAUCCAGCUACUGCUUAUGCAUUUGGUAUUUUCAUUUCAAACUUUGUUUUCUUCACAUGAUUUUUUUAGGGAACUAAUGGAGAGCAAUUAGGUUUUUGCUUUUGGUGUUGAGAUUAUGGAAAUGGAUCAGAUGUUAGAAUUUUGAAUUGAUUUGUGGAAGAUAAAGUGUUUAGACCGUAUACGAAUUCCGAUGAGGUGUAUGAAGUAGCUCCCAAACCUACGAUUUUUAUGGUUGAAGAGAUAUUGUUAUAUUUGACAUGAUGUGGAUUAUUUGUUUUAACUUUGUAGCAUAUUGAUUUACAAGGUGCUUUGAUAAAGAGGUAUCUGGGUCUAAAAACUCUUAAUCAAAGAAGAAAAUGCUUAACCAAAAGAAAAUCAAGGGUAUGUAAUCAUUUUGUGUUGGUGCCUAAUCAGUCUUGAUAUGAAAUAAAAGGGUACAAAAUUGGAAAUUGGUUGCUUCUCAUGAGACUGAAUAGUUAUUCUUGAAGGUUGAUGCUACUAUCUUCUAAAAGGCUGAAGUGUAUCAGCACUAGAGCUUUUGUUUGCAUUUUCUUGGACAAGGGACUCCAAUAAGUGCUACUGGGCACCAUGCGCCACUAUGCUGAGUUACCUCUCUCUUUUACAUCGACACUUGCACUUAUACAUCUUUGGGGGAACUUAUGUGGAGGGUAUGAAGGAAGAAGUUGUUUUGUCUCCUGGACAUGCCCUUUCCUUUAUUGCUGCUGGGGAAGCUGAUGGCGCAAAUUCUGCUCCAUGGGACUCUUCAUGCCACUAUUUAUGAAGUCGAUAAGCUCAAAAUUGGUGGAGGCAACUUUUUAACCAAGAUGACUAGGUGAACUGCUUUAAGGAAUAUUGUGCUGAAGGACGUCGAGACACAACGCUCUGAUAGGAUGUGACAUUGGGGUAUAAGGUUUUAUAUUAAUUGUAUGAAGUCUCAGACGGCCUUGUUCGAGCCGAUGACUUUAUUAUUUAUUCGGACAAGUUUGAAUAUGAUGUAGAAGAAAGGGAUUGUGAACCUUUUAUCCCUUUGAAAGGCUUGUAUUUAAAAAUGUUUUAAAAAAAAUACUUUUAAUUAAUAUUUGAAUUUUUAUUCCUUUGUUAGUAUAUAUGUGAGGGGUAGAGGGUGUCACAUCUUACACAAGAGGACUAUGCGGUAACUGUUUUUCCAUACUCACUUCAUCUCCAUCUUCCCCCUUUACUUAUGGAUUUCUUUAUUCGGUUGUCAUUCUGAGUUGCAUCAUAAGCUUUAUUUUUUUUAUAAUAAUUUAUUUUCUUUGGUGCAGCUGUAUGCAGUGCAGUUUCAUCUAUUAGUCACAUGUAUUUUAUUUCUUAGCCGGGAGGGCUUUCAACGAGCAUGCUUGCGGAAAAGUGUAUGUUAAAGAAAUUGUGCCCCUCACUUCUUCUUAAAUGUUAGAUGUACAAUGAAAACUGACUGAAUGAGAAGAGUUGUUUGUCUGUUAGUCCAUUAGGCUAGCUAGUUAGUUAGAAGAGAAUGGCAACAUAAAUAGGCAAAAUCAGAUUGUGGGGAGGGCAUUCACUGUAUUUGACAGGUUUAUGAGUGAUUAGGCUUCUUCCAUGCUUGAUGAUGAAGGAUUUGUUAGUUCUUUUGAUGCCCCUUUGAUUAUGCUUGUAUGGUUGUGGGCUACUUUUUGCAACAUGCUUCAAAAGGAAAAUGAAUUUUGUGUUAGGUUUAAAGCUACUGAUUCAUAAGUGAGUGCUAAUUGUUUAAUGAUGCUUUGGAUAAACAAUGCUAUUGGCUGGAGAACAAAUAUGUGCGGGAAUUAUAUUUAAAAACCUGUUUAUAGUUUUCUUGAAAGAUCUAGUAAAAAAUUGAAUUGAGUCUCUCAAUUCUUUGAUAGUUUAGAAUACUAUGUAUUUUAAAAAAUAUUAUAAUUCAAAUAAUGUGAAUUAAGGGUUUAUAUCUUUCAUUUAUUUUAUUUUCUUAAUUCAGUUUUCCCACACUCGAGUGAGCUUCAUUUGUAAUAUGUAUUUUCAUAGAACUUGGUCUUACUUGAAUUACGGCUGAAGGACAAUAUCCAGGAAAAAACAAGAAAUUGGGAAACGGCGUGACAGAAUCUCUGAAGUUAGUUUUGUUGAUUGGUAUGUAUUUUCAUUUAAUUUCAUAUUUUUUCCUGGAUACAUAUUUCUUAGUUUUCCUGUUAUUCAGUGAAAAGAAAUUA